GGGCAGAAAUUAGGCUCUAUUGGCAGGCUCUACCAAUUGCGAAUGAUUUCAGUGGUGCUUAACGCCAUGCUGGAAGGGGCCAGUUGCUUAUCAAACAAUGCUAAAACUAAAAGUAGUACAGAACUCUAAAGUACUAAGGUAAAAGCACUGCAGUAACAGUGGGCACGUGCCAUGUGUGUGGAGGAAUAGCAGAGGCAUGGAGCAGAAUCCUGAUGCAGCCCCUUGUCUCACCAAGCAGAAGAGCAUCUUGAGGAGCCCUGAGCAGGAAGGGAUGGCCUGGGCACCUCCCUUGCUGCAGCAGGACUGCCUUGUGUCCCCACAGGCACCACUCUAACUUAGCCUGUUCCUAAAGGCAAUCUUAGUCAAGGAGGCAUCUUUGCAGUGCCCCUUUACUGUAGCAAGUUCAAGUACAUGACCACAGGUUACUGCCCAGCCAGAGGUGAGUGCUAGCAGUGCAUGAGUCUCUGCUAGUGGAACACAAGCCAGGCUCCUGAGCUGCACAUCUGCCCUGCUGUACAGAAACCAUGGAGAGUCUCCUCCGCUGUCAGAGAGAAGAAGCCUGCAACAGAGGAGACUGAGCCCUGAAGAAGCCUCUCCUUCCAGGGUUUACUACGUAGAAGCAAUGCUCACAUUGCUAGGAAAUGUCCUGGCACUCACCUGAAAUGUAAAGCCAAGAGUAAACUUCCUGUGAACAGAGUCUGAAUCACAAGAUAAAGAGCUUUUCAAAAGCAUCUGUGAAGGAAGAGAGCAUAUUGGGCUGUGGGUACUAGCAGGUCAUGUUGCCAGCAUGGUAGAGGAAAGAGAGCUUCAGAAGGAGAUUGUGGUGCAGAUUCCAUGGCUUCAGUGAUGAAAUAGUGUUCUGUAGGACACUAACUCCCCAGUGCUUCCACAUGGAAACUUACGGGUUCAGCUCACAAGCUCAGUGCUUCCAGGCACAUUGUCCCUGCAUUUGUGCCUGCUUGUGACCUUUACAGCUUCCCCAUAGGAUAACCACUGUGGGGUCAGAUGUGAGAGAAAACUCCAAGGAAAUCAUGCAUCUGAAGAUUUCCUCUGUUUUUAAAGAUGUUACACAUACUGACUGGAGACAUUAGGGGAAGAAGAUGGUUCAGAAAAGAUUUUCCAGUGAAAGGACAUGGUACCACCUGAGAAUUAGGUUUGUUUUCUUUGAUAACUACAUUUUCAUUGUUUUUCAAUGUUAUGUCUCCUACACCAGUAACACAGACCUGGAAGGGUGACCUGAAGCUCCAGGUCUCAGAGCUUCAUCUCCACACUGCACUUUCACACAUGCCAGUGGUGGGGGAAGGUAUCCCACAAUUUGCUGCUUCAGGCACAAUUUGGAGACUCAGCCUAUUCACCUGUAUCACUGUCAGUGAAUUGGCAGAAAGUGGAAUUGCUCGGAUGUCACUGACAAUGGAACAUGGUCUACAAAACUUUGCUAUGGGUCUUAUUGUACAAGCAAGGGGGGGAAAAGUCUAAAUUUGGCAGUGAGGCACUAGAACAAGAAGCUGAAAUACAAAUCAGCUGCAAAGUCAGUAUGAGAUUUGCAGGCAUUUGACACUGCAAUAAGUGACAACCUACGAGUGGUCAGUGCAUGUCAGUCCAGGAAGAUAAAGCAAAAUCUCAGAGUCAGAUAACAUGCCUUGGAUUUUUUUUUUUUUUUUCCAUUAGUGGAGAUGUAGAGGUCUUGACAUUCUCUUCAGAGGUAUUUGGAUUUUAAAAUGGCUGAAGUUUGUCUGUUAUCCAGAAGUUUAAAAAAAAAAUAGAAAAGAAGUAGAAAAGCCUUAGAUGUUAAUUGCUAUUUAUUCAAAAUGUAAUAACUGCAGAGCCUGAAAUUCAUACCAGAUUUAGAAAUGAGAUCAUGAUUUGUAAUAAUUGCUAUUUCUUACUGCUAGCUCCUUAAUGUUUUUAUUUUAAAAAUCAUCAAGAAUUCCUUUCUAGUGUCACUGAUACCCACUCAGCCACCUACUCAUUUACAUCCCACAAGCACACACACACAAUUUGCCCUUAAAUAUUACUGAACAUUUAAAAUCUCUUCCCUCUCUAUAAUUUUCAAAGACUAAUUAUUUCAAAUGUUUUCAUUUUUUAGUAUAAAAGGAAAUUUUGUCUGACACUCACCAGUAAGUUUUUCCAACAUGUAUGCAAUGCAUAGCACAGAACUGCAGAGGAUACAUCCAUGAUGUGCAUUUAUUAGUGGCAGAUCUGGAAAGCUGAGAUGACUAUCAGAAUGAGGAAGUGAUUAGUCCCUCUGUUUGGCACUCAUGAGGACAUAUCUGGUGUCCAGUGUCCAGUCUGGGAUUGCUCUGUAAAAGAAAGAUCUUGGCAAACUAGAAGGAGUCCAGUACAGGGCUACCAGGAUGGUUGGGAGCUGCAGCACAGAGUACAGAGAGAGGCUGAAGGAACUCAAUUUGUUUAGUCUUAAGUAGGGAAAGCAAUGAGGAGAUCUAAAUCCUGUUUUCUACUGCCUAAAAGGGUUGAUAGUGAAGAUGCUCUUCCCAGAGGUGAAAAGGUACAAGGCAGUUAUCACACGUUGCAGCAUGGAAAAUUCCAGAUGAACGUAAGGAAGAAAUUUUUCACCAUGAGGGUGAUCAUGAUAGAGGUGCCCAGAGAGGUUGUGGGAUCUCCAUCCUUAAAAAUGCUCAAAACUCAUCUGCACAAGACCCUGAGUAACCCAUCUCAGCUUUGAAGUUGGCCAGCAGGAGUUGGAAGGUCACUUCCAACCUGGAUAAUUCAGCAGUUCUUUAAUUUGCUCCUUUCUCCUCCCAAGGUUGCCACUAUGCAGUACUGUACUCAUGGUCACAUGGAACUACUGGGGGAAAACGUCUUUCCGAAAUGCCAUCCUCUUUUCCUCUUGGGAGGCAGGACCUGAAACUGCGUUGUGUAAAACCACCUUAAGAACACCUUACAAAGCCAGUGCUUUCUCCAUUUGCAUGUUUUAUUUUGUAGAAAAUUAAAAAGAGUUAUGUAAUCCAGAGAAUUUGUGAAGGGAAUGUGAUUCCUUGUCCAAGUUUCUGGAAGUUAACACCAUCCCCACCAAACAUAUCAGGUCCCAGAAUGAGAUUUUAUCUGGAUCCAUCCUUUGCCAUUGGAAUUUGUUUUCACUCAAAUACACUCAUGUACUCUCAGAAACAGGGAUGCAGCUUGUUGGUAACAUCUCACCCUCUCCCUCCAGUUGCUUGCAGCUGCCUCUAGACUACUAAGAAGAAAACUAGACCAAGUUCGCACUUAGGGAAGAAGGCUGCAGACACUCUGCAGGUGGCCUGUUCCCUACUAUACAUAUAUGUCUCCAUUUGUACACAGAUAUUACCUGCCCAGUAUGAACAAGGCUUGAUAAUUCUGGCUUAUAAUCACAACUGUUAAUCAGACAAGUGGAAAAAGGUUUGAAAACCAGACUGCUGAAAUCCUUCUCUUUCUGCACACACAGAGACAAAGUACUCCCACUCCAAAAUACCCAGUAUGUACCCCAGGUGCUGGCUCCUGCAUCCUCCAACAGGUACACACAGCCCUUCUGCCUGUCCUUCUCUCCCCCUGGAUAGUCCAAUCCACCUGCAAUCUGUCUGUCCCUUCUCACUGUCCUAGACUCCCCUUGACCCGGACUGGACACCAGUAUUUGUCAUACUGGCACUUGUCUGUGCUGGGAAUUUCUGAGUGGAGCCUGACACCUGAAAAUGCCUGGGUAAGAGGAAGGCAGAGAAAUUGUCUGUGGACUGCAGAGGUUUUUUGCAGGAAAUCUAUGGUCAGUGCACCCUCUCUCCACAUGAAGAAUGCUUGCUGAGCCCCCAGACAGAAGGGAACAUGGAACUAUGUUGCAAAAAGUGUGAAUUGGUUUCAUUCAAUUUUAAACAGAGCGUUACUGUAUUCUAAAUCCAUAAUCUCUGGAUGAUACUGCCUGUGGAGUCAAGGGGAGUAAGAAUAGAAAAUAUAGCCACAGCUGGAGCUUAAGCAGAAUAUAUCCUUCCAACAGAGCUCCACAGGGUUACAGGUAUGGCUGCCACUGGAAGGACUCCCUCAUGUCUUGGAUCUAGCUGCACACUCGCCACUCCACUGGGAGAAGAGGGAGGAUUUUUGCCUGUCGGAGCUACACUUUCCAUCUGCCCUUUAUGCACUGCUCUCUUCUGAAAGACACUGUAGAAGCAUUAGGGAUUAUUAGAGAGGAUGAAGCUGCAUGAUCGAGUAUUAAAUAUUUAUUCCCUUGUA
Long non-coding RNA from Pseudopipra pipra, 4194 nucleotides. RefSeq lists it as uncharacterized. The record is from RefSeq and is a predicted model, not a curated record. The transcript has 2 exons. Lineage: Eukaryota; Metazoa; Chordata; Aves; Passeriformes; Pipridae.